RNAcentral lists this ribosomal RNA (253 nucleotides) under uncultured Lachnospiraceae bacterium. RNAcentral's name for it is "partial 16S ribosomal RNA". It matches the Rfam family "Bacterial small subunit ribosomal RNA", at positions 524 to 776 of the family's 1533-position model. Lineage: Bacteria; Bacillati; Bacillota; Clostridia; Lachnospirales; Lachnospiraceae. The record is from RNAcentral.
UACGUAGGGGGCAAGCGUUAUCCGGAUUUACUGGGUGUAAAGGGAGCGUAGACGGUUAUGUAAGUCUGGAGUGAAAGCCCGGGGCUCAACUCCGGGACUGCUUUUGAAACUGUGUGACUGGAGUGCAGGAGAGGUAAGCGGAAUUCCUGGUGUAGCGGUGAAAUGCGUAGAUAUUAGGAGGAACACCAGUGGCGAAGGCGGCCUGCUGGACGAUGACUGACGUUGAGGCUCGAAAGCGUGGGGAGCAAACAGG